GACGAACGCUGGCGGCGUGCUUAACACAUGCGAGUCGAACGGAAAGGCCCUGCUUUUGUGGGGUGCUCGAGUGGCGAAAGGGUGAGUAACACGUGAGUAACCUGCCCUUGACUUUGGGAUAACUUCAGGAAACUGGGGCUAAUACCGGAUAGGAGCUCCUGCUGCAUGGUGGGGGUUGGAAAGUUUCGGCGGUUGGGGAUGGACUCGCGGCUUAGCAGCUUGUUGGUGGGGUAGUGGCUUACCAAGGCUUUGACGGGUAGCCGGCCUGGGAGGGUGACCGGCCACAUUGGGACUGGGAUACGGCCCAGACUCCUACGGGAGGCAGCAGUGGGGAAUAUUGCACAAUGGGCGGAAGCCUGAUGCAGCAACGCCGCGUGCGGGAUGACGGCCUUCGGGUUGUAAACCGCUUUCGCCUGUGACGAAGCGUGAGUGACGGUAAUGGGUAAAGAAGCACCGGCUAACUACGUG
This 468-nucleotide ribosomal RNA is filed under the name uncultured bacterium. RNAcentral describes it as "partial 16S ribosomal RNA". It matches the Rfam family "Bacterial small subunit ribosomal RNA", at positions 28 to 507 of the family's 1533-position model. The record is from RNAcentral.